AGAGUUUGAUCCUGGCUCAGAUUGAACGCUGGCGGCAUGCCUUACACAUGCAAGUCGAACGGCAGCGCGUCCUUCGGGAUGGCGGCGAGUGGCGAACGGGUGAGUAAAGCAUCGGAACGUGCCCGGUAGUGCGGGAUAGCUCGGCGAAAGCCGGAUUAAUACCGCAUGAGAUCCGUGGAUGAAAGCAGGGGACCCGCAAGGGCCUUGCGCUACUGGAGCGGUCGAUGUCAGAUUAGGUAGUUGGUGGGGUAAAGGCCCACCAAGCCUGCGAUCUGUAGCUGGUCUGAGAGGAUGAUCAGCCACAUCGGGACUGAGACACGGCCCGAACUCCUACGGGAGGCAGCAGUGGGGAAUUUUGGACAAUGGGCGCAAGCCUGAUCCAGCCAUGCCGCGUGCAGGAUGAAGGCCUUCGGG
This 414-nucleotide ribosomal RNA is filed under the name uncultured bacterium. Its description in RNAcentral is "bacterial SSU rRNA". It matches the Rfam family "Bacterial small subunit ribosomal RNA", at positions 8 to 422 of the family's 1533-position model. The record is from RNAcentral.